UUGGAGGGGUGUGUAAUGAACAUAUUGCUUGGGCCAAAGGCCCAAGUCUCUAACUCAAGAACCAAGGAAGCGCCUUCAGCCUUCAAUCAGAGGAAAUGAAAUGUUCACAUCAAAACACAGGAACUCACGGACGAAGCUGAACGAAGCACUUGCACAUCGACCACACACCAUUGCCAUCAACGCGUCUUUAAUGAGGAAACUAGGAUUUACUUCAAUCGGAUUCAAUAGUCGAGAGAAUCAAAGAAUAAACUUGAUUUCUUUUUCCACGACGAAACAAAAACACGAUGGAUCUGUGGUAUUUCAACACCAAAAACGAAUUCGAUUCGAUUGCACGUGAAGUGAAGAGAUUGAAGGAGGAGGAACCUAUCGGAUUUAUUGGAGACUCCAGGAAUAAUUUUCUUUGGGUUCAAAUUCAUUGUAGCCAUCCAUUACACUCGUGUUUCAUAUGCAUCAAUAGCAACAAGGUAUGAAGCAAAUUUAUACUAAAGGUCUACAGGCACAGAAGGAUUCUGAAGCACUUCCAGUGCUUUUUUGCUUCUCCUUGCUGAAUGUAAUGGUGAACUACAAUCUCAUUAUGCCCUUUUAAGCUAGCAAAAUAAACCAUUUCUUCAACUCUUCCAUAACUUUCUAAAAGUUUUAUUGUAGUUGUUUCAUCCAAUACAUCCUUGUGGUCACUGAGAAAAGCACGAAACUCUUUAAUAAUUGAUUGGUCUUCUGAA
Lathyrus oleraceus (garden pea) is the source of this 719-nucleotide long non-coding RNA. RefSeq lists it as uncharacterized. NCBI's taxonomy places the organism in Eukaryota, Viridiplantae, Streptophyta, Magnoliopsida, Fabales, Fabaceae. The transcript has 2 exons. The record is from RefSeq and is a predicted model, not a curated record.